CACUCUGCAGCUGGGUUCAACCUCAUUUCAUUUGUGGAUCCUGGGGAAGUCUCAGGCCUGUGGACACAGUUGCCUUUGGUGUAAGUGUGAGGCGCAAACACACGCAGCAGAAUGCAGAGCAUGGGGCACGUGCUGGGCCUGGCGCUUGGUGCGGCCUGAGAGAGGAGCUGGCCUGGGGGCUGCUGUGGAACUGACACCCCCCCGGGUUGGGCCUGCCAGGGGGCGUUCCUGAGCUUGGGACGGUCGGAGAAGCAGAUCGACUCUUCUGGGCACGUUCCCUUCCUAGUUCAUGGACCCCUUGGAUAUAGUCUGUGGAGCGCUGCUAGAAAACCGCUGCUCUGGGGCCCUGGGCAAGGGACACGCAGACUCUGCCCCAUCCCAGCCUUGCCCCAGUUGGCCUUAUGCCCUGCCCGAGGCCUCAGAUGCUGCUGCUGAGCCUGAUCCCCGUGGGUCCCAACCAGUCCCCACCUGCCUGCAGCCCCCACACCUCAGCGCUCAGACACCCGGCCAAUGAGACCCCCCACGUGGCCCCUGCUCCUGGGGACAUUGGGGAUGUAAAAGUGUAACUGUGUAAACGGGGAACCAAGGAGCCUGGGCCCAUUAACGUUUACGGUCACACGGGGGUCCCCACGCUCACUGGCUCCUGGGGAGCCUCCCGCUGAAACUGUAGUUACUUAAUUACACACUGUAACAUCCCCACUAGAGACCUUGCCCCUGAGUCCCCAGCCCCCCCUGCUCCCCAGACACCCUGCUCCAGGCCCCCCAGUGUCACUGACCCCAACUGUCCCCCAGUGGCGUAGAACAAACUUGUCAGCACAGUAACCGGGAACAUGCAGUAAAUGCCUUCUUGGGAAAGGGGAGCCCAGAACCUGGCCCUCCCCUCUGUGCCCCGAGUCCUCUCAGACCCCCAGCUGCCUGGUCCCAGCCCCUCCCCCAGGAAUAUCUCUGCCCUUUGUCCUGCUUCCUGGGCAAAAGGUGGCACCUGGUCACAUCCCCUCCUGGGUCAGGUGACGAAGGCAUCGGCCAUUGUUUACAUGCAGGCAGAUGGGCAGCCUCUCUGUGGCAGUCACACCCAAAAUUCCCAUCACCUCUGGGCUUUGUCUCAGUUGGGCUGGUUUGAGCAGGCCAGUGCUGGGGGCCGUGGGAGCAGCCAGAGGGAGGAGGCUGGGGGCAAACAGGGCCAUUAGCAGUGGCUCUCAGGGUGCCAUUUCUGACAGCUCCCCCCACCCCAGCAUGGAGCUCACAUCUUGUGAGGAACCCCCCGAGCUGGGGCUGUGGGUCCUUUCCACCCCCUCCCUCUCUGCCCUCCAGAGCCACCCAAGUUCGAAGUGACCCUCCAGCUGCCCCCCGUGGUGACGGUGCUGGACAAGGCGCUCCACCUGCGGGUGUGUGGCCGAUACACCGACGGGAAGCCCGUGCUGGGGAGAGUCCAGGCCACCCUGUGUCGGCUCAGAGAGAAGACGCGCCGGAGCGUGUGUGUACAUCUCACGGGCCAGACUGAGAGCGACGGCUGCCUUUCCUGGGAGGUGGGGACGCCUCCCUUCCACCUGACCCGCUCUGGCUACCAGAUGAACCUGGAGGCCAUGGCCUCUCUCGAGGAGAAGGGGACAGGUGG
Pelodiscus sinensis (Chinese soft-shelled turtle) is the source of this 1615-nucleotide non-coding RNA. The record is from RefSeq and is a predicted model, not a curated record. Lineage: Eukaryota; Metazoa; Chordata; Testudines; Trionychidae.